UUAUUUAUUUGUUUUUUAUUUGUUUUUGCACGCUUUGCCAAAUUUAUUGUUGUUGUUUCCUCAAUCAAGCCCUUGCUUCUGGAAUCUUUAAUUUCCCUCUGGAAUUUGCUUCCGGAAUUCUUCUUUCGCUUCCCGAAUACUUCCUUUUUGCUUCUGGGAAUCCGGUCUUUGCCUAUAUUUCCCGAAAUCCUUCGCUUGCAUCCGGAAUUUCAUCGUUGCCUCAGGUAUCCUUAAUUUGGCUCCGCAAUCAGUUUUGCCAUGUUCAGAAGUGCCAGGAUUCGUCCUUCACUCCCAGAAUCUCGGGUUUUGACUCCGGAAUCUUAUCUCUUGCUCCAGGAUUCCUUUAUGGUGCUUCCAGAAUCUUCGUCUCAUGUCUUCAGAAUCUUUUCCUUUGCUCCGGAAAUUUUGUCUCUUCCUCCAGAAUUUCCUCGUCAGUGCUCCUGGAAGGUUUUCGCUAUCUCGGAAUCUUGCCUUUUGCCUCGGGAUUCUUGUGCUUCGCCUAGAAAAAGCUGCUUUUGAUGUCCGUCAAAUUCAGCGACCUUCUGAACCUGCGGAGGUCAUUGGUCGAGCUGCGGGAUCCUCAUCAGCGAUUGGCUGCUUUUGAUGUCCGUCAAAGAACGUGCGGACUUGAUGUGUGGUGGAGAGAUUAAUAAUAAUUAAGCUAAAUUAGCUUAAUUGCAGCGAAGUUUUCACCUGUAAUAACGACAGAAGAGUGUCAUCUGCUCAUGCUGAAGUCAACAUGGUAAGAAAAAGGAGAAUAAAACCUGAAGAGGAUGCAAAAGAACACAUAUUGUCAGGCAAAGACAAGGCCUUCAUUGAGGGACGAGAAAUCAACACAUUUAAAGGGAGAGGUGUGUUUGCACUUGAACACAUUGAACCGUCCACCUUUGUUGUUGAAUAUCGUGGGAUUCUCUCUCAAAGUAAACAUGUUAAAGACAUUCAAAGCAGCUACUGGUUAGAUUUCACAUGGAAUGGAAAACGUUAUUGCAUAGAUGCUUCCAAAGGAGAUGGAACACUAGGCCGACUGGUGAAUGAUGAUCACAGAAAUCCAAACUGCAAAGUGAAGACAAUAAUUGUUGAAGGAAGGCCACACCUGUGCCUAUUUAGUAUGAGAUAUCUUUCCAGAUGACGAGGUUACAUACAACUAUGGAGAUUCCUCUUGGCCAAGGUUGCUGUGUGAAGACACAUCAGUGAGAGAGACUGAAUGUAGUAUCGAUACUUCCACUUCAGGGAAAGAGAAGGUGCCCUUUAAAGGCGAUUCAACUACAGUUGCCAAGAAAGGAGUUUCAGCUUGGACUGGAAAUGAAAUAGUAACUUGCACUUUAUAAUUGCCACCAUGAAGUUCACAGUGCUGUUAUCUCCAGUUUGGAUUCUUGUGAAGAGUGCACUGGACCUGUGUCAGGUCGAAAAUGGCUUUGUUUAACUUGCAAAUUAUGUUCAAGAUCAUGGCACAAAACCUGCUUCAUG
Molecule: long non-coding RNA, 1467 nt
Organism: Hemibagrus wyckioides
Lineage: Eukaryota; Metazoa; Chordata; Actinopteri; Siluriformes; Bagridae
Exons: 8
Source: RefSeq, a predicted model, not a curated record